This 253-nucleotide ribosomal RNA is filed under the name uncultured bacterium. RNAcentral's name for it is "partial 16S ribosomal RNA". It matches the Rfam family "Bacterial small subunit ribosomal RNA", at positions 524 to 776 of the family's 1533-position model. The record is from RNAcentral.
UACGGGGGGGGCAAGCGUUGUUCGGAAUUACUGGGCGUAAAGGGCUCGUAGGCGGCCAACUAAGUCAGACGUGAAAUCCCUCGGCUUAACCGGGGAACUGCGUCUGAUACUGGAUGGCUUGGAUUCGGGAGAGGAAUGCGGAAUUCCAGGUGUAGCGGUGAAAUGCGUAGAUAUCUGGAGGAACACCGGUGGCGAAGGCGGCAUUCUGGACCGACAUUGACGCUGAGGAGCGAAAGCCAGGGGAGCAAACGGG